Molecule: ribosomal RNA, 468 nt
Filed under: uncultured bacterium
Lineage: Bacteria
Description: partial 16S ribosomal RNA
Rfam family: Bacterial small subunit ribosomal RNA
Source: RNAcentral
GACGAACGCUGGCGGCGUGCUUAACACAUGCAAGUCGAACGGAAAGGCCCUGCUCUUGUGGGGUGCUCGAUUGGCGAACGGGUGAGUAUCACGUGAGUAACCUCCCCUUGACUUUGGGAUAACUUCAGGAAACUGGGGCUAAUACCGCAUAGGAGCUCCUGCUCCAUGGUGGGGGUUGGAAAGUUUCGGCGGUUGGGGAUGGACUCGCGGCUUCUCAGCUUCUUGGUGUGGUAGUGGCUUACCAAGGCUUUGACGGGUAGCCGGCAUGAGAGGGUGACCGGGCACAAUGGGACUGAGAUACGCACCAGACUGCAACGGGCGGCAGCAGUGGGGAAUAUUACACAAUGGGCGCAAGCCUGAUGCAGCGACGCCGCGUGCGGAAUACCGGCCUUCGGGUUGUAAACCGAUUUGGCAUGUGACGAAGCGUGAGUGACGGUAAUGGGUAAAGAAGCACCGGCUAACUACGUG